Molecule: small RNA, 542 nt
Filed under: Pan troglodytes (chimpanzee)
Lineage: Eukaryota; Metazoa; Chordata; Mammalia; Primates; Hominidae
Description: processed transcript
Source: RNAcentral
UACCUCAUUCAUAAAGAUGAAAAACCAGCCAGUGUUGACUGAGCACUUAGAAGACCUCACACCAGGAUCUCUGUGAAUAAGAUCUCACUUCACCUUCGCUACAAUGCUGGGAGAUGGGAAUUACACCAUUCGCACAUCAGGAAACAGGGGCUGUGGAUUCUUAGGUAACUUGCCCGUGCUCAGAAACUGAUGCAGCUGAGGCCAGAAGCGAGGUUUGAAUCAUUCAUAAGCUGAGUGUUUUCAAGAAGUGAAAGAUCAAGCACAACCAGCAGAGAAGGCCGGAGAGAAGCUGCUCGAGGAGAUGAGGAACCUGCGGGGCAAAGCACUCAACACAUACCUGAUUCUAGAAUGAAAGUCACCAGUAGGUCAGUCCCUUCCAUUUGCUUUCUGCGGGCCACUGUGGCCCCUUGCGUCCAUUUACAUGCCAGCCAUCUCUGCAAUUAAAGUUUCUGGAUAAAAAAAUGAAAUGUAGAGGAUGUAUAUAUCUUUUAAGUGAUAAUUAUAAAUCUUAUAUUUAAAAAUAAAAUGGAGUUAGGAUGAUG